GAUCCUGGCUCAGGAUGAACGCUAGCGACAGGCUUAACACAUGCAAGUCGAGGGGCAGCAUAAAAGUAGCAAUACUUGGUGGCGACCGGCGCACGGGUGAGUAACGCGUAUGCAACCUACCUAUCAGAGGGGAAUAACCCGGCGAAAGUCGGACUAAUACCGCAUAAAACAGGGGCACCGCAUGGUGAUAUUUGUUAAAGAAAUUCGCUGAUAGAUGGGCAUGCGUUCCAUUAGGUAGUUGGUGAGGUAACGGCUCACCAAGCCGACGAUGGAUAGGGAACUGAGAGGUUGGUCCCCCACACUGGUACUGAGACACGGACCAGACUCCUACGGGAGGCAGCAGUGAGGAAUAUUGGUCAAUGGGCGGGAGCCUGAACCAGCCAAGUCGCGUGAAGGAAGAAGGAUCUAUGGUUCGUAAACUUCUUUUGCAGGGGAAUAAAGUGCAGGACGUGUCCUGUUUUGUAUGUACCCUGAGAAUAAGGAUCGGCUAACUCCGUGCCAGCCGCCGC
This 509-nucleotide ribosomal RNA is filed under the name uncultured bacterium. RNAcentral describes it as "bacterial SSU rRNA". It matches the Rfam family "Bacterial small subunit ribosomal RNA", at positions 15 to 518 of the family's 1533-position model. The record is from RNAcentral.